UGGCAUUUAAUUGGUUUAAAUAGUCUUAGAUUCUGCUAAUAAUUACAUAAUAAAUGAUUACAACUCAUAUUUACAUAUAUAAAUACCAUUGGUUUUUCCUUUGAAAACCAGAAAAAAGAAUUUAAAAAAGCACAUAGAAAACCGAGAUGGGAAGAAAAAAACUAAAAAUCCAAAGAUUGGAAGACCUGAAAGCAAGAGAAGCAAAAUAUUCAAAGCGUAAAACAAGAAUUCUGAAGAAAGCUAAAGAACUUAAUAUAUUGUGUGAAGUUGAUGUUGUCCUUCUAUUUUCUUCGCCAUUUGGUAGACCAACUCUUUUUGUUGGUAAAAAUUCCAAGUAAAUUACUUCAUUCUAAUUUUCAUCUCUUAUCUGUAUUGAUAUUAUUAUUUUCUUUUACUAUUAAAAUUUCAGUUCCAUCAUCCUUAUUUUAGCUUUAUUUUUAAUUUCCUUUUCUAAUUUUUUUUAAACUGGUCAAACCAGUGGGUUAAGUAGUAUUCUUAAGAGACUGCCGAAUUUGUCAUUCGAGGAGCGCCAGGAAAGGUAAAUAAUGUUUAUAAAAUAUUGUAUUUUCUCUUUUUUAAACAAAAAAAAAAUCAAUUGCUAAUUUUUUUUCACCAGGAGGGCCUAUACAAUAGAGGUAUGUUCGAACACCGAUUUAGCGAUUUUUUAAAAUUAAAAAUAAAAAUUAUUUUUUGACAAUUAAAAGUAAUUUUUAAAAAUGAAGAUGUUGAAGAAAAUUUUUGAAAAUUCAGAGUCAGAGUUUGAUCCAUUAAGCUUGUCCCAUUAUGGGUUUCCUAAACUUGAAAAAUAAUGAUUCUUUUUUUUUCUUUUUUAUUCGUUUUCAGAUCCGAAUUUUUUAUUUUAUUUUAUUUUAUUUUAUUUUGCUCUAGUUAUACGAAGAUGAGCUGCAAGAGCUAAAGGAUAAACUUGUGGAAAAGAGCAAGAUACUAAGGUUUGAAAUAUUCUAGUAUUUAAAGAUUUUGAUUUGUGUAUGUGAAUGUCACGUCUUGAGAUUUAUUUUGGCUUUCCACAUAAAUGUUAUAUGUCGAGACCUACGCAUAGAUCAACAUAUUAAUUAAUUUUGAUUGUGUGCGAAAAAGGACAGAUUUUGGAUUUUUUCCUUCACUUUAUUAUUUUGUAUUUCUUCGGUGUAUAAACCGAUGGCAAAUAGAACAGAGAAAAAAAAAGGCUUACUGUAUCAAAAAAAUGAAAUCAAUACACAGGAAAAGUUUUUCUUUUUCUUCCAUUCUGUUUUCUUCUUCGAUGGAUUUUCUUUCUUUUUCCAUUUGUUAUUAACCUCAUAUAUAAGUAUAUAUAUAGAGCAAAUAAAAAAAAGGAGGGAGUUAUAGGUCUUACCUGGAGACGCCCUCGGAUCCGCGCGAAAAGGAGCCAAAAAGCCCUUCGCGUGAGGCUCUGACCACCGUUCACGAUGGAAUUGCGGCGGAGGAGCGGUGUAAAGAGCUAGGGCCGAAACCCUAGCAGAGAAGCCUCAAUUUUUUUUUAUUUCAAGAGCUGUC
This 1515-nucleotide long non-coding RNA is filed under the name Gossypium barbadense (sea-island cotton). RNAcentral's name for it is "long non-coding RNA (GBAR_LNC015447)". Lineage: Eukaryota; Viridiplantae; Streptophyta; Magnoliopsida; Malvales; Malvaceae. The record is from RNAcentral.